This 492-nucleotide ribosomal RNA is filed under the name uncultured bacterium. RNAcentral describes it as "partial 16S ribosomal RNA". It matches the Rfam family "Bacterial small subunit ribosomal RNA", at positions 29 to 507 of the family's 1533-position model. The record is from RNAcentral.
AGUGAACGCUGGCGGUAGGCCUAAUACAUGCAAGUCGAACGGCCGCACAGUAAGAUCUUGCUCUUACGGGUGGCGAGUGGCGGACGGGUGAGGGAUACACCGGAAUCUACUUUUUCGUGGGGGAUGACGUAGGGAAACUUACGCUUAUACCGCAUACCCUAUAAGUGUUUAUGCAGGGGUUCUUCAGUCCUUGCGCCAUUGAAUCAGCCGAUGUCGGAUUAUCUAGUUGGCGGGGUAAAGGCCCACCAAGGCGACGAUCCGUAGCUGGUCUGAGAGGAUGAUCAGCCACACUGGAACUGAGACACGGUCCAGACUCCUACGGGAGGCAGCAGUGGGGAAUAUUGGACAAUGGGCGCAAGCCUGAUCCAGCCAUACCGCGUGGGUGAAGAAGGCCUUCGGGUUGUAAAGCCCUUUUGUUGGGAAAGAAAAGCAGCAGGUUAAUACCCCGCUGUUCUGACGGUACCCAAAGAAUAAGCACCGGCUAACUUCGUG